Sapajus apella (tufted capuchin) is the source of this 1744-nucleotide long non-coding RNA. RefSeq lists it as uncharacterized. The transcript has 2 exons. The record is from RefSeq and is a predicted model, not a curated record. Lineage: Eukaryota; Metazoa; Chordata; Mammalia; Primates; Cebidae.
UGCAUUCAAGUUUUUGUGUGGACAUGUAUUUUUAUUUCUCCAAGAUAGAUACCUGGGAGUGAAAUUUAUUAGGUUAUAUGGUAACUCCAUGUUUAACUGAUCAAGUAACUGCUAGAUGUUUUCCAAAGUGGCUAUACCAUUUUACAUUUCCACCAGUAGUGUAUAUAAAUUCCAAUUUCUCCAGUUGUUAUUAUCUGACAUUUUUACUUUAGCCAUCCUAGUGAGCAUGAAGAAGUAUCUCAUUGUGGUUUUGAUUUGCAUUUCCGUGAUGGCUAAUGAUGUGGAGUAACUUUUCAUGUAUAUAUUGACCAUUUGAUUUAGAUGUGCUAUUUUAAAUAUUUUGAUUUUCUUGACUAUAGGCCACAUUUUCUUAUUUGUUCCUUGACUCAGGGUCUUAAAAGACAAAACUUAAGGUAUUGGCUGAUCUGUGUUGUCAUCUAGAACUCUGGGUCCUCUUCCAAGUUCAUGUGAUUGUGACAGAAUUCAGUUCCCUGUGGUUGUAUGACUAAGAUCCCCAUUUCCUUGCUGCCUGUCAAUUAGUGGCCACUCUCAGCUCCCAGAGGCCACCUGCAUUUCUUGCCACAUAGCCCUCUCCAUUUUGAAGCUAGAAUGGGGAACAUUUUAUGCAUUAGAUCUCCCUCAUGCUUUUACUCUCUGGCUUCUUCUGGCCCACCUGAAUAACCUCCUUAUCUACAGUCAACUGAUUUAGGAUAUCUACAAAAUUCCUUUCCAGGAGUACCUAGGAUUUGUGUUUGACUGAAUAACUGGACAAAGGUGUAUGUAAACUAGGAACUGGAAAUGAUAGGGUCAUCUUCAAAUUCUGCUUAUGACAAUCAGUGUUGCUCUACCAGCUUUUUAUUUUGUUAGUGACAGCCUAGUGUAUUUUUUUCUAUAAUAGUAUGUUUUCUGUACUCUCAGGUUUAAAUGUCUUCUUAACAACAGAUUAACAGCUGGAUUUAAGAAAGUAACAAUUUUGGAAUCUCCAGUGUGUAUCUGGUGAAUUUACCUCACUUAGUGAUUACUGACAUAUUUAGAAUUAUUUUUUUUUAUCAUUUUUUGUGCUUCCAUUUACUCUUUUUUUUUUUUUUUCUCUUUACCACUUCUCUCCCCUUCUACUGGUUUGGUAGUUAUAUAUUCUGUCAGUGGCUUUUGUAAAAUUAAUGAUUUUAUUAACCAGUCUAAAGUUAAUCAGUAUAUUUGUCCUCCAGACAAAUAAGACAGGAACCUUAAAAUUAUGUUAAUUCUAAUUAUCUCACUUUAUUCUUAGAGAAAAAAAUGGAUUGCUUAUACAUUAAUGAUAGUCUGCUAACAGAUUUCUCAUCAGCAUCAGCAGAAUACAGCAAAGAAAUAUCAUCUAAGAGUUGAGGUAAAUGAACUGUUGGUUAAAAGUCAAUAACCAAUGAAAAUAUCAUUCAAGGGCAAAACUCACAGAUUCUUCCCAAGGGAACACUAAUGAUAUACUUCAGUCACAGGAAAACAAUAUGGAAGAGUGGGAUAUGGAGAAAAGAAGAGUGGAGAAGCUAAGUAUCAAACUUGUGUGAGGCACACAGCUAAAGACUACAGCUAGGAGAAUGUCCUCUUGCUCAGAAAUGGCAUGGGACUCAAAAAGCAAUUCUAACUAUCUGCAUUUAUUCUUUUAGCUCAUGGGUGACCGAGAGAGUGCUAAUGUCUAUGAGUUCUAGAAUGUAUAAGAAAAAUUUACUCAGGCACUAUCCUUCAAAUUAAAGAGAACAUGGAACAACAA